Molecule: long non-coding RNA, 584 nt
Organism: Eublepharis macularius
Lineage: Eukaryota; Metazoa; Chordata; Lepidosauria; Squamata; Eublepharidae
Exons: 3
Source: RefSeq, a predicted model, not a curated record
CCUAAGAACCUUUUCCUGGGAGUGAGCCCCACUGAAUAGACCUGAGCAGGAUUCUGAGUAGACCUGCUUAGGACUGGUCUGUAGGGUCUGUAUGGUUUGGUUUUGGUCUCUAUUCCACAGUGGCAAAUACCAGAAAGAAACCAGAAUUUAUGCAGCAAGGUGGAGGGAAGUGUCCAGAAGCUACCAAAGCUAGUAGGGACUCAAGGCUUGGAAAAGAACUGAAGAGCUGAGGAAGCCCCUCCCCUUCCAGGAUCAAUCAGAUCGACUGACCCUGCACUGAAGAGGAGGAGUUGCAUCCCAAAAGUAUGGACUGACCCACUCCCAGUACACUGAGAAAGGAAACUUUAUGCAGCCACUGUUGCUGAUGCUGUGGGUUGGGGAGCCUUGUGAACAAAACAUCACACGGAACAAGGGGCUGAUAUGAGGAAGAUGGAGGCACUUGCCUGCAUGGCAUUUUGUCCACGAGUAGCAUGAUAUACACUGCCAUAUGCUUGAUGGCCUAAUGAAUUUAAUUCUUCAUCUUCUGGAUGACCCUAUGGAUGAACUAGGAGUGACAGCAAUGGAAAACUGCUGAUAUAUAUAUA